UCUGAGUAUUUUGCAGUCCACCAUGAUGUACCUACGCACUCAGGACAACUUUGCAACAAAAAGAGUUCUUCUACAGUGCUUUGGGAACCUUCUGAUGAGCCUGAUGCAGACUGGCAGGGAGAUCUCUGAUGAAAACUUCUUCCUAGUGAAGGAAUACUUCCAGCUUCCCCUUGAGAAUAUUAAGGCUGUACUCAUGGCUAUGAACGUAAAAGCAGGGCGACAA
This is a long non-coding RNA of Polypterus senegalus (gray bichir), 223 nucleotides long. RefSeq lists it as uncharacterized. NCBI's taxonomy places the organism in Eukaryota, Metazoa, Chordata, Cladistia, Polypteriformes, Polypteridae. The record is from RefSeq and is a predicted model, not a curated record. The transcript has 3 exons.